Molecule: ribosomal RNA, 496 nt
Filed under: uncultured bacterium
Lineage: Bacteria
Description: partial 16S ribosomal RNA
Rfam family: Bacterial small subunit ribosomal RNA
Source: RNAcentral
GACGAACGCUGGCGGCGUGCCUAAUACAUGCAAGUUGAGCGCAGAAGGUUGGUACUUGUACCUACUGGGUGAGCAGCGGACGGGUGAGUAACGCGUGGGGAAUCUGCCUUUGAGCGGGGGACAACAUUUGGAAACGAAUGCUAAUACCGCAUAAAAACUUUAAACACAAGGUUUAAGUUUGAAAGAUGCUUUUGCAUUACCCAAAGAAGAUACCGCGUUGGAUUAGCUAGUUGGUUAGGUAAAGGCUCACCAAGGCGACGAUUCGUAGCCGACCUGAGAGGGUGAUCGGCCACACUGGAACUGAGACACGGCCCAGACUCCUACGGGAGGCAGCAGUAGGGAAUCUUCGGCAAUGGGCGAAAGCCUGACCGAGCAACGCCGCGUGAGUGAAGAAGGUCUUCGGAUCGUAAAACUCUGUUGGUAGGGAAGAACGAAGGUGAGAGUAGAAAGCCCCGUCAGGAAGGUAACCAAUCAAGAAGCCAAGGCUAACUUCGGG